UGCUCCUUUCAACUCUAUUAG
This 21-nucleotide non-coding RNA is filed under the name Caenorhabditis elegans. The record is from RNAcentral. Lineage: Eukaryota; Metazoa; Nematoda; Chromadorea; Rhabditida; Rhabditidae.